ACCUAGCCCCGAUUGUAGCAUUUGUCUGAGCUCAUUUUUAGGUUUCGGCGGCGGCUUUGCCGCCGCCGAAACCUAAAAAUAGCGAGUGCGGAAAGCGGGAAAAAGC
This 106-nucleotide unclassified non-coding RNA is filed under the name Chryseobacterium soldanellicola. RNAcentral's name for it is "Flavo-1 RNA". The record is from RNAcentral. Lineage: Bacteria; Pseudomonadati; Bacteroidota; Flavobacteriia; Flavobacteriales; Weeksellaceae.